Molecule: small RNA, 160 nt
Filed under: Nostocoides australiense
Lineage: Bacteria; Bacillati; Actinomycetota; Actinomycetes; Micrococcales; Intrasporangiaceae
Also listed under: 1 other name
Description: Tetrasphaera australiensis c-di-AMP sequence
Rfam family: c-di-AMP riboswitch aptamer (ydaO/yuaA leader)
About the family: This family represents a conserved RNA structure found upstream of the ydaO and yuaA genes in Bacillus subtilis and related genes in other bacteria. The ydaO/yuaA element is thought to act as a genetic "off" switch for the ydaO and yuaA genes in its native state.
Source: RNAcentral
AACACUCGAACACCGCUUGGUAGGAGCGGGGGACCCACUUGCGGGCACCGACUCCGGUCGGGGUCCUUGGGGUGAAGCCGGCGGAUCCGUGUGAUCACCGGCCGGGCAGCAAUCUCUCGCCCGAACCCGACAGCUCACCUCGUAGGCGUCGAGAGGUCAC